GAUGAACGCUGGCGGCGUGCCUAAUACAUGCAAGUCGAGCGAACAGAUGAGAAGCUUGCUUCUCUGAUGUUAGCGGCGGACGGGUGAGUAACACGUGGGUAACCUACCUAUAAGACUGGGAUAACUCCGGGAAACCGGGGCUAAUACCGGAUAAUAUUUUGAACCGCAUGGUUCAAUAGUGAAAGACGGUUUCGGCUGUCACUUAUAGAUGGACCCGCGCCGUAUUAGGUAGUUGGUAAGGUAACGGCGUACCAAGGCGACGAUACGUAGCCGACCUGAGAGGGGGAUCGGCCACACUGGAACUGAGACACGGUCCAGACUCCUACGGGAGGCAGCAGUAGGGAAUCUUCCGCGAUGGGCGAAAGCCUGACGGAGCAACGCCGCGUGAGUGAUGAAGGUCUUCGGAUCGUAAAACUCUGUUGUUAGGGAAGAACAAAUUUGUUAGUAACUGAACAAGUCUUGACGGUACCUAACCAGAAAGCCACGGCUAACUACGUGCCAGCAGCCGCCGUAA
This 514-nucleotide ribosomal RNA is filed under the name uncultured bacterium. RNAcentral's name for it is "partial 16S ribosomal RNA". It matches the Rfam family "Bacterial small subunit ribosomal RNA", at positions 28 to 523 of the family's 1533-position model. The record is from RNAcentral.